This 358-nucleotide unclassified non-coding RNA is filed under the name soil metagenome. RNAcentral's name for it is "partial contains 5.8S ribosomal RNA, internal transcribed spacer 2, and large subunit ribosomal RNA". The stretch from base 1 to 120 matches the Rfam family "5.8S ribosomal RNA", at positions 35 to 154 of the family's 154-position model. The record is from RNAcentral.
GAUGAAGAACGUAGCGAAAUGCGAUAAGUAAUGUGAAUUGCAGAAUUCAGUGAAUCAUCGAAUCUUUGAACGCACAUUGCGCCCGCCAGUAUUCUGGCGGGCAUGCCUGUUCGAGCGUCAUUACGCCCCUCAAGUCCCCUGUGGACUUGGUGUUGGGGAUCGGCGAGGCUGGUUUUCUAGCACAGCCGUCCCUUAAAUUAAUUGGCGGUCUCGCCGUGGCCCUCCUCUGCGCAGUAGUAAAACACUCGCAACAGGAGCCCGGCGCGGUCCACUGCCGUAAAACCCCCCAACUUUUUAUAGUUGACCUCGAAUCAGGUAGGACUACCCGCUGAACUUAAGCAUAUCAAUAAGCGGAGGA